Molecule: ribosomal RNA, 1346 nt
Filed under: uncultured bacterium
Lineage: Bacteria
Description: partial 16S ribosomal RNA
Rfam family: Bacterial small subunit ribosomal RNA
Source: RNAcentral
GACGAACGCUGGCGGCUUGCUUAACACAUGCAAGUCGAACGGAAAGGCCCUGCUUUUGUGGGGUGCUCGAGUGGCGAACGGGUGAGUAACACGUGAGUAACCUGCCCUUGACUUUGGGAUAACUUCAGGAAACUGGGGCUAAUACCGGAUAGGAGCUCCUGCUGCAUGGUGGGGGUUGGAAAGUUUCGGCGGUUGGGGAUGGACUCGCGGCUUAUCAGCUUGUUGGUGGGGUAGUGGCUUACCAAGGCUUUGACGGGUAGCCGGCCUGAGAGGGUGACCGGCCACAUUGGGACUGAGAUACGGCCCAGACUCCUACGGGAGGCAGCAGUGGGGAAUAUUGCACAAUGGGCGGAAGCCUGAUGCAGCAACGCCGCGUGCGGGAUGACGGCCUUCGGGUUGUAAACCGCUUUCGCCUGUGACGAAGCGUGAGUGACGGUAAUGGGUAAAGAAGCACCGGCUAACUACGUGCCAGCAGCCGCGGUGAUACGUAGGGUGCGAGCGUUGUCCGGAUUUAUUGGGCGUAAAGGGCUCGUAGGUGGUUGAUCGCGUCGGAAGUGUAAUCUUGGGGCUUAACCCUGAGCGUGCUUUCGAUACGGGUUGACUUGAGGAAGGUAGGGGAGAAUGGAAUUCCUGGUGGAGCGGUGGAAUGCGCAGAUAUCAGGAGGAACACCAGUGGCGAAGGCGGUUCUCUGGGCCUUUCCUGACGCUGAGGAGCGAAAGCGUGGGGAGCGAACAGGCUUAGAUACCCUGGUAGUCCACGCUGUAAACGGUGGGUACUAGGUGUGGGGUCCAUUCCACGGGUUCCGUGCCGUAGCUAACGCUUUAAGUACCCCGCCUGGGGAGUACGGCCGCAAGGCUAAAACUCAAAGGAAUUGACGGGGCCCCGCACAAGCGGCGGAGCAUGCGGAUUAAUUCGAUGCAACGCGUAGAACCUUACCUGGGUUUGACAUGGAUCGGGAGUGCUCAGAGAUGGGUGUGCCUCUUUUGGGGUCGGUUCACAGGUGGUGCAUGGCUGUCGUCAGCUCGUGUCGUGAGAUGUUGGGUUAAGUCCCGCAACGAGCGCAACCCUUGUUCACUGUUGCCAGCACGUUAUGGUGGGGACUCAGUGGAGGCCGCCGGGGUCAACUCGGAGGAAGGUGGGGAUGACGUCAAGUCAUCAUGCCCCUUAUGUCCAGGGCUUCACGCAUGCUACAAUGGCUGGUACAGAGAGUGGCGAGCCUGUGAGGGUGAGCGAAUCUCGGAAAGCCGGUCUCAGUUCGGAUUGGGGUCUGCAACUCGACCUCAUGAAGUCGGAGUCGCUAGUAAUCGCAGAUCAGCAACGCUGCGGUGAAUACGUUCCCGGGGCU